UGGCUCUCGCAUCGAUGAAGAACGCAGCGAAAUGCGAUAAGUAAUGUGAAUUGCAGAAUUCAGUGAAUCAUCGAAUCUUUGAACGCACCUUGCGCUCCUUGGUAUUCCGAGGAGCAUGCUUGUUUGAGUGUCAUGGUCUUCUCAACCCUUCCGUCUUCUUCACCGGAGACGGUCGGGCUUGGAUGUGGAGGUCUUGCAGGCAUCUGGAUCUUUUGAUUCAGAAGUCGGCUCCUCUGAAAUGCAUUAGCUUGAAUAGUACCAAGCAUGAUUCAGCGUGAUAAUUGUCUACGUUGCUUCAUCUCGGUGAAUUUAAUGUUCAAGCUUCCAACCGUCCCUCGGGACAAUCUCUGAACAUCUGACCUCAAAUCAAGUAGGACUACCCGCUGA
This 387-nucleotide unclassified non-coding RNA is filed under the name uncultured fungus. Its description in RNAcentral is "partial contains 5.8S ribosomal RNA and internal transcribed spacer 2". The stretch from base 1 to 133 matches the Rfam family "5.8S ribosomal RNA", at positions 22 to 154 of the family's 154-position model. Lineage: Eukaryota; Fungi. The record is from RNAcentral.